Molecule: ribosomal RNA, 862 nt
Filed under: Platypleura hilpa
Lineage: Eukaryota; Metazoa; Arthropoda; Insecta; Hemiptera; Cicadidae
Description: SSU rRNA
Rfam family: Eukaryotic small subunit ribosomal RNA
Source: RNAcentral
UUAGCCAUGCAAGUCUCAGUACAUGCCGCACUAAGGUGAAACCGCAAAAGGCUCAUUAAAUCAGUUAUGGUUCCUUGGAUCUUAAACAGUUACUUGGAUAACUGUGGUAAUUCUAGAGCUAAUACAUGCAAACAAGUCCCGACCAGAGAUGGGAGGGACGCUUUUAUUAGAUCAAAACCGAUCGGCGUCCGGCUCCGGCCGGCGCCGUCUCUUUUGGUGACUCUGGAUAACUUUUAGCCGAUCGCACGGUCACAGUACCGGCGACGCAUCUUUCAAAUGUCUGACUUAUCAACUGUCGAUGGUAGGCUCUGCGCCUACCAUGGUUGUAACGGGUAACGGGGAAUCAGGGUUCGAUUCCGGAGAGGGAGCCUGAGAAACGGCUACCACAUCCAAGGAAGGCAGCAGGCGCGCAAAUUACCCACUCCCGGCACGGGGAGGUAGUGACGAAAAAUAACGAUACGGGACUCAUCCGAGGCCCCGUAAUCGGAAUGAGUACACUUUAAAUACUUUAACGAGUACCAAUUGGAGGGCAAGUCUGGUGCCAGCAGCCGCGGUAAUUCCAGCUCCAAUAGCGUAUAUUAAAGUUGUUGCGGUUAAAAAGCUCGUAGUUGGAUCUGUGUGCCACGCUGUCGGUUCACCGCCCGUCGGUGUCAACUGGCAUGUCUGUGGGACGUCCUGCCGGUGGCGGUACGGGCUGCCGGCGCUGCGUAGGGGCACAACCCCGAAGCACGCCGGCGUGUCCCGGUCCGCCGAUCCAAUCCCGCCGCGGUGCUCUUCACUGAGUGUCGAGGUGGGCCGGCACGUUUACUUUGAACAAAUUAGAGUGCUCAAAUCAGGUCGUAUUUAUGCCUGAAUACUGUGA